UGCGCCCGAACGCGGAAGGCGCGUGGGUCUUUCGCCUGUACCUCAGCCCUACGGAACCAGAAAUUCCGCCUCGUCGCUAUAACAAAUCCUCCAGGCUUUCUCUGCAACAGUAUCUCUACAUUUCUAAUACCAUCUUGGCUUCUGCUUCUUGCAGUACCCAGUGAUCCAGAGGUCGGGAUCAUGUCCUUUUAAUGAAUUAAUGGAUGGAUGGAUGGAUGCAUGUACGGAUGAAUGAAGAUUUGUGCUACUGUGGACCAACCUCAGCUUGGUAGCGAAGCAUCCUUGCCUCUGUGUUACACCUCCAGCUGGACGUGGCCUUUUCAGAUUAUCUCAAGUGAAAUAAGAAGC
This is a long non-coding RNA of Fukomys damarensis (Damara mole-rat), 348 nucleotides long. RefSeq lists it as uncharacterized. The record is from RefSeq and is a predicted model, not a curated record. Lineage: Eukaryota; Metazoa; Chordata; Mammalia; Rodentia; Bathyergidae. The transcript has 3 exons.